AUUUGUUGUUGAGUCAAAGUGCGCGGAUCGCUUAGAAGAGAGGAAGAGGAACUCCUGUAAGCGUGUCGCUAAAAGUUAAUAAGUGUCGUUAAGUGAACUCGGUGUUUCAGUUAGUUGUUAUUGCAAACACCUUUUUGCAUAUUACUUAAAAAGGUGGCAUUUAUAGCAUUUCCAAAAGGUGUCAAAAAGCUGUCGAGCUUAUCAAAGUUAAUUAUUAAAUAAGUGCAUCAUUGUUGAGCCAAACCGCAACCGAAGAAGAUGGGCAAAUUCGAGUACUCGCUGGGCCUCAAUGAGUUCAAGUCAAAGGAGCUGCGACUGUGGCAGGCGCUCAUUGGCGAAUUCGUUGGCAAUCUGAUACUGAACUUCUUUGCCUGCGGUGCCUGCACACAGCCCGAGGAUGGCACCUUCAAGGCUCUGGCCUUUGGCCUGGGUGUCUUCAUGGCCAUCACAAUUGUUGGCCAUCUGAGUGGCGGUCACGUGAAUCCAGCUGUUACCGUUGCCAUGUUGGUAGCAGGUCGGAUCAGCGUUCUCCGCGCCGUCUUCUACAUCAUCUUCCAGUGCCUGGGCGCCAUUGCAGGCACUGCAGCAGUCAAGAUUUUACUCGAUGUGGACUAUCACAAUGGUUUGGGUCACACUAGCCUGGCUCAGAACAUCACCGAGCUGCAGGGUUUGGGUAUUGAAUUCUUCCUCGGACUCGUCCUGGUGCUGACCGUGUUUGGUGCCUGUGAUGCCAACAAACCGGAUUCCCGCUACACAGCUCCGUUGGCCAUUGGCAUGGCUGUUACUCUGGGUCACUUGGGCACCAUUCGUUAUACGGGCGCCAGCAUGAACCCAGCUCGCACAGUGGGCACUGCCUUUGCUACCGAUAACUGGAGUGCUCAUUGGGUCUAUUGGGCUGGUCCAGUGCUGGGCGGUGUGGCGGCUGCUCUGCUCUACACUCAGGUGCUGGAGGCCAAAGAGUUGCCCAAGAACAACGAAGCAGCUGAAAAAUAUCGCACACAUGCCGACGAACGUGAGGUGAGAGCUUUUGCGGCUUGGCAUGAUAAGAGUUUCUACUGAAACCCAACACAUACACAUUACGCCCACACCCACACACACACAGAUACUCAGAAAACAAUGAUUCUACGCAAGUUGGAAGGAACUCGCGACUACGCUUAAGGAUCUAAUAUCCACCUCUACCUGUCAUCACUUCAAAUGCUCAUUAACCUGCAUUAAAUGGAAUACAAGAUCGAGUAGAAAUGCAUUAAGCUCACAUUCUCGACUCCAUUUCGUUUUCGUCUUGAAUAAUUCUGCGUAUACGUGUUAAUUAUUGUUUGUACGAGUAUUUAUGUAUUUAUUUAUGCGAGUUCAUUGUUUAAACUAAUACCUGUUUAUAUUUAAGCUGUGCUUAACACAACCAACAACAAAUUAUUUAUGUAUAUUUACAUCAUGAGUUCAUAAUAAUAAAAAAAUCAAAACUCA
Drosophila nasuta is the source of this 1461-nucleotide RNA transcript. It is a transcript of the gene named aquaporin prip, with no coding region annotated. NCBI's taxonomy places the organism in Eukaryota, Metazoa, Arthropoda, Insecta, Diptera, Drosophilidae. The record is from RefSeq and is a predicted model, not a curated record. The transcript has 5 exons.